This 541-nucleotide ribosomal RNA is filed under the name Halobacillus sp. YIM 93909. Its description in RNAcentral is "bacterial SSU rRNA". It matches the Rfam family "Bacterial small subunit ribosomal RNA", at positions 70 to 593 of the family's 1533-position model. The record is from RNAcentral. Lineage: Bacteria; Bacillati; Bacillota; Bacilli; Caryophanales; Bacillaceae.
CCCUUCGGGGUGAAGCUCGUGGAACGAGCGGCGGACGGGUGAGUAACACGUGGGCAACCUGCCUGUAAGACCGGAAUAACCCCGGGAAACCGGGGCUAAUGCCGGGUAAUACUUUUCUUCGCAUGAAGGAAAGUUGAAAGAUGGCUUCUUGCUAUCACUUACAGAUGGGCCCGCGGCGCAUUAGCUAGUUGGUGAGGUAACGGCUCACCAAGGCGACGAUGCGUAGCCGACCUGAGAGGGUGAUCGGCCACACUGGGACUGAGACACGGCCCAGACUCCUACGGGAGGCAGCAGUAGGGAAUCUUCCGCAAUGGACGAAAGUCUGACGGAGCAACGCCGCGUGAACGAUGAAGGUCUUCGGAUCGUAAAGUUCUGUUGUUAGGGAAGAACAAGUACCGUGCGAAUAGAGCGGUACCUUGACGGUACCUAACGAGGAAGCCCCGGCUAACUACGUGCCAGCAGCCGCGGUAAUACGUAGGGGGCAAGCGUUGUCCGGAAUUAUUGGGCGUAAAGCGCGCGCAGGCGGUUCCUUAAGUCUGAU